RNAcentral lists this ribosomal RNA (504 nucleotides) under uncultured bacterium. Its description in RNAcentral is "partial 16S ribosomal RNA". It matches the Rfam family "Bacterial small subunit ribosomal RNA", at positions 29 to 523 of the family's 1533-position model. The record is from RNAcentral.
AUUGAACGCUGGCGGCAGGCCUAACACAUGCAAGUCGGACGGUAGCACAGAGAGCUUGCUCUCGGGUGGCGAGUGGCGGACGGGUGAGUAAUGUCUGGGGAUCUGCCCGAUAGAGGGGGAUAACCACUGGAAACGGUGGCUAAUACCGCAUAACGUCGCAAGACCAAAGAGGGGGACCUUCGGGCCUCUCACUAUCGGAUGAACCCAGAUGGGAUUAGCUAGUAGGCGGGGUAAUGGCCCACCUAGGCGACGAUCCCUAGCUGGUCUGAGAGGAUGACCAGCCACACUGGAACUGAGACACGGUCCAGACUCCUACGGGAGGCAGCAGUGGGGAAGAUUGCACAAUGGGCGCAAGCCUGAUGCAGCCAUGCCGCGUGUAUGAAGAAGGCCUUCGGGUUGUAAAGUACUUUCAGCGGGGAGGAAGGCGAUGUGGUUAAUAACCGCGUCGAUUGACGUUACCCGCAGAAGAAGCACCGGCUAACUCCGUGCCAGCCGCCGCCGUAA